RNAcentral lists this ribosomal RNA (253 nucleotides) under uncultured bacterium. RNAcentral's name for it is "partial 16S ribosomal RNA". It matches the Rfam family "Archaeal small subunit ribosomal RNA", at positions 474 to 727 of the family's 1478-position model. The record is from RNAcentral.
UACCAGCACCCCGAGUGGUCGGGACGAUUAUUGGGCCUAAAGCAUCCGUAGCCGGUUCUGCAAGUCCCCCGUUAAAUCCCGCUGCUCAACAGAUGGGCCGCGGAGGAUACUACAGAGCUAGGAGGCAGGAGAGGCAAGCGGUACUCAGUGGGUAGGGGUAAAAUCCGUUGAUCCAUUGAAGACCACCAGUGGCGAAGGCGGCUUGCCAGAAUGCGCUCGACGGUGAGGGAUGAAAGCUGGGGGAGCAAACCGG